This 44-nucleotide non-coding RNA is filed under the name Schistosoma mattheei. Lineage: Eukaryota; Metazoa; Platyhelminthes; Trematoda; Strigeidida; Schistosomatidae. The record is from RNAcentral.
GUCCGGCUGACGAGUCCCAAAUAGGACGAAACGCGUGCCUGGAU